CAAAGAAUAGUUUAAGUAGAAUACCAGCUUUGGGGGUUGGGGGCAGGAGUUAAAGUCUUCUUUCUUUGA
This 69-nucleotide transfer RNA is filed under the name Girella fimbriata (caramel drummer). RNAcentral's name for it is "tRNA-Pro". It matches the Rfam family "tRNA". From Rfam's summary of the family: Transfer RNA (tRNA) molecules are approximately 80 nucleotides in length. Lineage: Eukaryota; Metazoa; Chordata; Actinopteri; Centrarchiformes; Girellidae. The record is from RNAcentral. RNAcentral also lists the same sequence under 1 other name.